This 2736-nucleotide long non-coding RNA is filed under the name Homo sapiens (human). Its description in RNAcentral is "non-protein coding lnc-ZNF667-2:2". The record is from RNAcentral. Lineage: Eukaryota; Metazoa; Chordata; Mammalia; Primates; Hominidae.
CGUGUCCUCCGCUGCAAUAGCCCCUGGGAAGUGUAGUCCGGAACGGAGGCGGCGUUCAGAAAUAGGGCGCUGGCUUUGCCAGGAGCGGCUCCUCUCCAAGCCUGGCGGUCACUGCCCUGUGUCCCCUUUUGGGCCUCUCCUGGUCCUCCUGGUUGGAUUAGGAGGCCUCUCAGCCCGGAGUCUGGGUCGCCGAAGUACAGGCCCCUUCACUGAAGCGACCCACGGCGCAGGGGUUUCUGGAAGCCAUCGCCAGGCUCCGAGUGUUCAGAUGCAGCUGCCAGGCUCAGGACGCAGAGAACUGGCUUCCAGCUCGCAGGAGCGCCUGUCCGUGGUGGGUAGGGUCGCAGGCGUGGGGUGUGCAGGAGCAGUGGGACAGCACUGAAACGCAGUCGGAAGAGAUACCACGGUGUGCAGGCACAGGGAAAAGACCACGUGAGGACACAGAGAGAAGACGGCCGUCUGCAAGCCAAGGAGAGAGGCCUCAGGUGAAACCAAACCUGCAGGCACCUUGAUCUUGGACUUCCAGCCUCCAGAAGCUUGAGAAAAGAAAUUUCUGUUGUUUAAGACACCCAUUCUGUGGUAUUUGUUCUGGCAGCCCUAACAAACUAAUAUAGGGAUCUAAAGAUUCCUUGUCUUCAUUUUGAGUAAGAGACUAUAAACUCAGAACUGUGGAGAUCUAGUUAGGUAUUGUACAGCUAGCCUCAUUCUGUCUUAAACUCCAGGUAAAAGAGAAAAAUAUGGAGACAGCCCCUGACUUUGGAGAACUUGCAGUUUUGUGGAGGUGAAAGGAGGCAGCCACAAGAAAAACCCCUGACAUCAAUUCAAAACUAUAAAUAACAAAGACUAACUUGUUCUAUGCACAACAGGUACUACAGCACUGUCCAACAUGGGGACAUGUGAGUGGCCUGAAGCAGCACAAGAACUGGGCAAUAAACUUGAGAUGAACCUCAAAGCAUCAAUAUUAUUCAUGACUAAACUGGGUUCUAAGAAUUUCUAUUUUUACUCUCAGUGUUCAGUAGAGGUCAUUAAAAAAAAAUCUAGCAAUUUUUUUUUCUAAAAUGAAUAUGUAAUAAGAAUGAAAAACAAAAAGCACUAUAAUGUUUUUAAUUAAUGAAAUGCCUUUACGAACCAAGGUGCCAUCUUGGAGAAGCUAGGCAUUAUGAGGAGCUAUCAGGAGCACAUUUGCUAACAGCUUGGCAUGAGCAGGAUUUUCUUGACCAACUGGCAAGAUGGGGCUGCUCAGCUCCUGCUGGCAGAUUUUUAUGGAGCAUAGUUUUACAAAUUCAGCCUACAACUCUGAUACGUUCCAAUGUAUUUUAAACAUCUAUUCAGUUGCAACUCUAAUCCCAGGAACCUGUGGCUAACAGAAGGCAGAUUUAACUGACUAGCAGCUGUGGGAUUUUCAAAGUCUAAACUGAAAUGAACAUGCGAAACAGUUGGACUACCCCAAAAGCUGAAUUACAAUUCCAGCACUCACCAGCUCUGAAACCUCACUUGGUUACCUAACGCCUCUGUGCCUCAGUUCCCCAGCUAUAAAAUGGAAAAGGCAACAAUACCAACCUUGUAGAUUAUGUUUUGGAUUAAAUGAGGCAACACAUACACAGCACUUAGAACGUGCAAGGCACAAUGGAAGCAUGCAGUGAACAUGACUUGUAAUGAUGCUGACUGUCAUAACUCUCAUCCAUAGGGAUGCUGCCUCUGCUUGUCACCCUUGACCUAUAUAUUUUCAGGCAGUCCUCACCCAGUCCCCAUUUGUGUGUUCUAGAUAGAAAAGGCCCCAUACUAUGAAAUGACUACUGUCCUUCUGCAUGAAGCCUGGUGAACCUGAUAAUGUAGCCUUCAAGUUCCCUUACUGAGCCUUGAGCUCCCUUCAAAGUAUCCAAGCCAACCCUGUCUUGGGAAACUCACCUAGAUAAUGCCCUGAACCCCAAUAAAGGCUCCAGCCCACAGGUCCCUCCCUCUCUCUUGGUCCCCACCCUUUGGCUGGGCAUGUGUGUCCUCAAUGUCUCCAAGCCCUUCCAGUAAGCCCUGCAAGGUGUGCUGGCCACUGUUCUCUGGAAUCUGUGAGUAAUAAACAAUCUUUUUGCCAUUCUGCUCUAAGUGUCCCUCACCAUGCUGCAUCUGACUACACAAAACCUAAUUUAAAUACCUCACUUAACAAACCACAACACCAACCAAGAGCUGAACCUUUUAAAGAUUCACAUUAUUCUACUAGAAACAAAAGUCCCUUUGAGGUUUGAUAUCUGCUGAAUAAUAUACAAUCACUUGUUCUUUAACCUGCUACCAAACUUUAAGGACAUUUGUAACUGAAUUGUGUAAAAAUAGGUCAAAAGGGUUUUGUAAGUGAUAUCCCAAUUUGAGUGAAUAUCAACUGCAGAGGGAGUUGAAUCAGUCAACUGCAGAGCUACACUCUUGAUGGUAAACUCAUCAUGGAGAAGUCUCCUAAGCUGGGGACUGAAAGGCCCCCUGCAGUGUAAACCAUGAGGUAAUACUUGCAGGAAACAGCCAAGAACUGCUUAAUGUCCUUGAGCAAAAGACACACUAAUAUGGCUACCUGAGGAAGCUAGUCUAAAACAAAUGCUGGUCAGCUCUCAGCAAUAAUUUUGCAAGUUGAAGCAUCUUGGCAUAAAAGAAGAGGAACUUAUUUGCUUGCCAAGAAGAAUCAACCCUAGUUUCCCAGGUUGAUCAUGCUAUGCAUUAGUGAUCUGCUUUUGUACCAGUGGUUUGUUAAAUGCC